Molecule: ribosomal RNA, 406 nt
Filed under: uncultured bacterium
Lineage: Bacteria
Description: partial 16S ribosomal RNA
Rfam family: Bacterial small subunit ribosomal RNA
Source: RNAcentral
GACGAACGCUGGCGGCGUGCCUAAUACAUGCAAGUAGGACGAGUUGCGAACGGGUGAGUAAUGUCUGGGAAACUGCCCGAUGGAGGGGGAUAACUACUGGAAACGGUAGCUAAUACCGCAUACCAUCGGAUGUGCCCAGAUGGGAUUAGCUAGUAGGUGGGGUAACGGCUCACCUAGGCGACGAUCCCUAGCUGGUCUGAGAGGAUGACCAGCCACACUGGAACUGAGACACGGUCCAGACUCCUACGGGAGGCAGCAGUGGGGAAUAUUGCACAAUGGGCGCAAGCCUGAUGCAGCCAUGCCGCGUGUAUGAAGAAGGCCUUCGGGUUGUAAAGUACUUUCAGCGAGGAGGCGUUACUCGCAGAAGAAGCACCGGCUAACUCCGUGCCAGCAGCCGCGGUAAUAC